Molecule: ribosomal RNA, 406 nt
Filed under: uncultured bacterium
Lineage: Bacteria
Description: partial 16S ribosomal RNA
Rfam family: Bacterial small subunit ribosomal RNA
Source: RNAcentral
GAUGAACGCUAGCUACAGGCUUAACACAUGCAAGUCGAGGGACCGGCGCACGGGUGAGUAACACGUAUCCAACCUGUCCUUUACUCGGGGAUAGGCUAUCGAAAGCAAGAUUAAUACCAGCUAUAAAGGCUGGGGAGGCGUUCCAUUAUGGUGUUGGUGAGGUAACGGCCCACCAAGACUUCGAUGGAUAGGGGGUCGGAGAGGAAGGUCCCCCACGUUGGAACUGAGACACGGUCCAAACGCCUACGGGAGGCAGCAGUGAGGAAUAUUGGUCAAUGGGCGGUAGCCUGAACCAGCCAAGUAGCGUGAAGGAUGAAGGCUUAUGGGUCUUAAACUUCUUUUAUAUAAGAAUAUGUAUUAUAUGAAUAAGGAUCGGCUAACUCCGUGCCAGCAGCCGCGGUAAUUC